CAGCAGCCACGGUAAUACGAAGGGGGCUAGCGUUGUUCGGAAUUACUGGGCGUAAAGCGCACGUAGGCGGAUUUUUAAGUCAGGGGUGAAAUCCCGAGGCUCAACCUCGGAACUGCCUUUGAUACUGGAGAUCUUGAGUUCGGAAGAGGUUGGUGGAACAGCUAGUGUAGAGGUGAAAUUCGUAGAUAUUAGCUAGAACACCAGUGGCGAAGGCGGCCAACUGGUCCGAUACUGACGCUGAGGUGCGAAAGCGUGGGGAGCAAACAGGAUUAGAUACCCCCGUAGUCCCUGUCUCUUAUAU
RNAcentral lists this ribosomal RNA (301 nucleotides) under uncultured bacterium. RNAcentral's name for it is "partial 16S ribosomal RNA". It matches the Rfam family "Bacterial small subunit ribosomal RNA", at positions 509 to 809 of the family's 1533-position model. The record is from RNAcentral.